RNAcentral lists this long non-coding RNA (1050 nucleotides) under Hordeum vulgare. RNAcentral describes it as "long non-coding RNA (HVUL_LNC000430)". The record is from RNAcentral. Lineage: Eukaryota; Viridiplantae; Streptophyta; Magnoliopsida; Poales; Poaceae.
CUUAAACAUGUAUGUAUUAUUAGUAAGUGUAUCCUAGACAUGCAUACCUCUGUUGUCUACGGAGAACCUUGCAUGUUUACCACGUCUAUCUGACAAGUACGAGCAGCCGAUCCUAUUGCCGCGCAGCCGGCUGCUAAACCUGCAGAGGAAAGACCAAAGAUCCUAUCAAAUCAAAGCCCACGUGACUACGAGUACACUGCAGUCGACGUCAGCUCUGGCGCUCCUUGUCUUUUACUGCCUGAUCAUACUGGUUCUCUACAGCAUGGUACUGCACUACUACUACUACGCUCCUACUGAAGAAAAUAAACAGAAGGUAAUCUCAAUCUUUCGAGUAAUGGACAGCAGUACAAUUUAAAGCAAAUGACCUACCCUCAUUCAUGGCGUUCAAUGGCGUAGGUGCCCAUCCAUCGGCAACGGCAGGCCAGGCCAGAGUGGACGAGGGGGAAUUCAAUGGAGGAGGCAAAGUGGAGAGGGAACCAUUGGCACCCGCACUGUAGUUCCACUUGUGCGGUGUGGGUGGUGUAGAUGGAGUUAAUUCCGCAUCCACCCAGCUAGGGCAAGCAAGGGAAAGAGAAAUUAAGCAUGCGGCCGGACUCGUUUCUCACCGGUGCAUGUCCUCUCCUCAUCAUGGUUGCUUCCAUUCUCAUCUUGAGCAUGGAAAGGUGAUGCUUCUCUUCCUCCAAAUGCCGCUUCCUCUCGGUGAAACUGUGGAACUAGUAGAAAAGUUCAUGGUCAAUGUUCUGGCGCUGUCGGAAACUCGCAAUCUCGCUUGUUUUUUGGUCCAUUUUGGCAAGAUUCUUCCCGGCACAGUAGCUAGUAAGAGCAUCUACCCCGGACUUAGCAAAUAUGACCUCUGUUGCGAACGUGUCCUUUUUAAGUCCUUACUUUUUCGUUCGCGUAGCCGCAUUUUUUAUAUAUCCGGUGACUUGUAGAUGGUUCAUGAAGAAGAGAGAAGAAAAAGAAAAAGAAAAUAAAAGAAAAAUAUAUUCUGGGGUGGGGUUGCGUCCUACGUGAUGGACUGACCAGACGUGUUUGAACGCGUUCACGAGC